CUUGGACUGUUUCCAGAUGGCUGCCCACUGGGCUGCAGGAGAAUGGAGAGAGAGCUUCGAUGAGCUGAGGGAGACUCCUGCAUGCCCCAGGUUCCCAUUGGAGAAUGCUGGAUGAUGGAGCUUUCCUAACUGGCCACACACCAGAGUCUGAGAAAUACAUCAGCACUCCAGAUGUUGAUGUCCUGCACAAAUUCUUGGUUUGAAAGUAUGAUCGGAGAUCAAUGGAAUUGCAGUCUUGGACCAUGUGGCCCCCUCACACUGGUGCUCUGAUUCUCUCCGGCAUUCCAGGUGGCUCCACUUUCUGGACUAUUUCUCUUCAAUUUAAAUGAAGUGACACAGCAGGGAGGAAGACGUGAGAGGAAGAGUCUGCAAUGAAAGUAGCCUCAUUGAUCAUUUAAAGACCAUCUGGAAACUCGCCUCCAAAUAGCUGAUGGGCGUCCUGGACACUGAGUGUCUGGGCAACCCGUGUUCCCACAGAAGCACAGAGGGGCUCUGCCCCCAGGGUCGAGCUUCAAUGGGGCUCCUAAACUCAGGACUUCCUUUUUUUCUUAAUCUGGUUGAUUUGUGACAUUAUCCAAUGGUUUUGUUUUAGAA
Molecule: long non-coding RNA, 594 nt
Filed under: Equus caballus (horse)
Lineage: Eukaryota; Metazoa; Chordata; Mammalia; Perissodactyla; Equidae
Description: lncRNA (ENSECAG00000057685.1)
Source: RNAcentral